RNAcentral lists this ribosomal RNA (497 nucleotides) under uncultured bacterium. Its description in RNAcentral is "partial 16S ribosomal RNA". It matches the Rfam family "Bacterial small subunit ribosomal RNA", at positions 28 to 507 of the family's 1533-position model. The record is from RNAcentral.
GAUGAACGCUGGCGGCGUGCCUAAUACAUGCAAGUCGAGCGAACAGACAAGGAGCUUGCUCCUCUGACGUUAGCGGCGGACGGGUGAGUAACACGUGGAUAACCUACCUAUCAGACGGGGAUAACUUCGGGAAACCGGAGCUAAUCCCGGAUAAUAUAUUGAACCGCAUGGUUGAAUAGUGAAAUACGGUUUUGCUGUCACUUAUAGAUGGAUCCGCGCCGCAUUAGCUAGUUGGUAAGGUAACGGCUUACCAAGGCAACGAGGCGUAGCCGAGCUGAGAGAGUGAUCGGCCACACGGGAACUGAGACACGGUCAAGACGCCUACGGGAGGCAGCAGUAGGGAAUCUUCCGCAAUGGGCGAGAGCCUGACGGAGCAACGCCGCGUGAGUGAUGAAGGUCUUCGGAUCGUAAAACUCUGUUAUUAGGGAAGAACAAAUGUGUAAGUAACUAUGCACGUCUUGACGGUACCUAAUCAGAAAGCCACGGCUAACUACGUG